ACCUUGGGGUGCAGCGUCAUGAUUUUGAUAACUUUUAAUGGCCACGGGGUGUAGAUUGGCCUGAGCAAAUGUGGUGCCGGUGGAAUGAAAGCCUUCGGAGGAGUUAGCGAAAUUCCAAUGUGUGCGGAUCGGCAAAAAAUGCGAAAUAACCCUUUAACCGUAAUUUUGACAGAUACGGCCGCACUGACUUUUUUGUAGAUCUUAUUGAGAUACAUAUGUGUGUCAAUUUUUGUGUCAAUAUGACAAAGCGUACAGGCGUGACAGUCAAUAGUGUGAAUUUCCACCUUAGGGGGCGCUAUGGAGCCAUUUUGCAUUUUAUUGUUUGGGCGACUUCAGAAUAUCGAAUUUUUCACCAGGCCCGGUCGUCCUGCCAAAUUUCAUGAGUUUUCGCCAGUGGGAAGUGGGCCAUUUUCCAGUUCAAAGGGGAGGAAAAAGAAGAAAGAAAGAAACAAAGAAAAACCCCUACAGGAAUAACAGGGCCUACGCCCGGCUGCUCUGCAGCUGGCUCGGGCCCUAACUAGGACCCCGUUGGGGCACUGGCGGGCCCGAGCUGUGUCGCGUCCCCCCCCCAACGCGCUGCCUCCCCGUCCUAUUCGCGUCCUCUGGCCAUCGCCCUCUCUGGUAACGCCCAUCACUGCAAAGACCCUUUUCCUUCAUCGGCGUUUGCUGUUCUUCCUGCCAGUGCAUGUUGCUUUCACUUACACUUGCCACAGCCAGCCUCGUGAGUGCCUAGCCUAUUGGAUAUCACUGUCACCUACACAGGACAUUCAUUACCUUUCUAUUAAUACUUUGUUUUUUAAUUUCACAUUAAUUUCCAUAUUGUAUAAACAACUGGAAAAAACUUGAGCCCCUGCCCCUGUAUAAUCAUGUGCACGUCUCUGUUCUAGCUCUAAGGUGAAUCUUCACUGCUCAUGUUCUCCUCAGAAGCAGUCACCUCACUCCCCUCAGGUUACUGUACACAUGCACCAACUGCCUGCUUCAGGUUUGGAUGGAGCUUCAUGGUUGUCUUUUGGAGAAAUGAGCAGUCAAGUUGUGUUUGAAAUUUGAUUUUUUUCAGGGGCAAAAGGAAGCCUCUGCAUUCUUGUCAAAUAUGUAAAUAGCAUGUUUUUGCAGGUGCUAAAAAACAGACUCUGAGUGUGUGUGUGUGUGUGUGUCUGUGUGUGUGUGUGUGUGUGUAUCCUGCAGUACUCUGAGAAGAAUAAUAAGCAUAUUUCUGAGGUGAAUUUUGAAGAUUCAUCUGAGAGUUAGGUUUGAUUCGAUUCGAUUGACGCUCCCCAGCGUUCAAGUCACAUGACAUAUUUAACCGGAUGUAGCUGCAAGACGGAGCCUCGUUAACUCUCCGUUUCAACUUAUCUCAAAAGUGAGGACCUCAACCUAUAUACCAGUUUUUAAAUUGUGUUGAUAGGCCAAAUGAAACCAGAGUUAUGAUAAAUUAUGUCCGCGAUACUUGUUUUCUGCUUAUUUUGAUCACGUUCGGCGCUCGAUCGUGCUGUAUGAGACAGGAAAACAUAGCAUGCACACAUUAGCGACAGGUCUUACAGGCGGAAAAGGCUUGCCAAAAGAAAAAAAAAAACACACCACAACAUCUCUCCUAUUGGUGGAAAACUUCACCACAACAACCAAUCCAAAAUUAUAUGGUGACUGAUUGACAAGGGGCGGGCGCUUACGUUCUUCCUGCAACAUGAGAAGGGAGGGAGGGACUCUCAGCAGGGAUGCAGUCUGGGACACGUAGUUGCAAACCUAGCGACUUUGUUGUUAGAUUCAAUUACUUUUCAGACCCCCUAACGACUUUUUUUAGAAAGAAAGGGACUUUUAUCGACUUCUUCUGGAGUUUAGAGACUCUGACAUGAAGCAGGCUUUCCUUACUGAGGAGUUAGCAACGCUGCUAAGGGUGCAGAGCCACACAUGCGCUCAGAGCUCUGCAUGGGAGACUGAAGCUGACAGAGCUGCAGCAGUUAGCAGGUUUCACCCUCAGAGACCACCAGGGGUUCAUGUUGAGGCAUUUUCAGUUUUUGUUUUUUUUGCCAUAGACUGUCAGCACAAUCUGCAGUUACACUAACAAAAAUGCUGGACAAAACAAAGAAUUAUGGAAAAAUUACACAUGGACUGACAUAGAGGAGGAUCUACACAAGUUUUUUACAUCAUGUUUUACAUCAUGCAUCAUUUACAUCAUGUUUUUUUGUAGUGGCAUAAAUAAAAAGUGACAUUUGUGAGACUAUACAGUGUUUUGUAAAUAAUUUUACAAAGAACGCCUGGGCCAUUGCCUGCAUUUUGAUGUAAAUAGAGGUAAAUUACUAUGUUCUUUGUUAAAAAUUUGCAUAUGUUUUGAAGUUUACAAUUUUUAUUUGAAGUUUAAGUUUUAAAAACAGUUCAUCACACAUAUUUGUGGUUUAAUUUCACAUUAAUUUCCAUAUUGUAUAAAUGACUGGAAAAAACUUGAGCCCCUGCCCCUGUAUAAUCAUGUGCACGUCCCUGUUCUAGCUCCAAGGUGAAUCUUCACUGCUCAUGUUCUCCUCAGAAAUAGUCACCUCACUCCCCUCAGGUUACUGUACACAUGCACCAACUAUCUGCUUCAGGUUUGGAUGGAGCUUCAUGGUUGUCUUUUGGAGAAAUGAACAGUCAAGUUGUGUUUGAAAUCUGAUUUUUUUCAGGGGCAAAAGGAAGCCUCUGCAUUCUUGUCAAAUAUGUAAACAGCAUGUUUUUGCAGGUGCUAAAAAACAGACUCUGAGUGUGUGUGUGUGUGUGUGUGUGUGUGUGUGUGUGUGUGUGUGUGUGUGUGUGUGUGUAUCCUGCAGUACUCUGUACUCCUGCAGUGGCCAAAAAGACUUUUAAGAAUGUGGAUUUUUGGGUCAUCUUUGGCGCCCCCUAGAACUGCAGUACUCUGUACUCCUGCAGUGGCCAAAAUGACUUUUAAGAAUGUGGAUUUUUGGGUCAUCUUUGGCGCCCCCUAGAACGUAAACCGUGGGGUGCAGCGUCAUGAUUUUUACAACUUUGAAUGGGCAUGGGGUGUAGAUUGCCCUGAGCAAAUUUGGUAUCGGUGGGACGAAAGCCUUAGGAGGAGAUAGCCACAUUCCAAUGUGUGCGAAUCGGCAAAAAAUGCGAAAUAGCCCUUUAACCGUACAUUAUACAGAUACGCGCUUUUUGACUUUUUCGUAGAUCUAAUUGAGAUACACAUGAUUGUCAAUUUUUGUGUCAAUAUGACAAAGCGUUCAGGCGUGACACUCAACAAUGUGUAUUUUCAUGUAAGGGGACAAGAAAAAAUUGACUUUUUUCUCCUGCCAUGGGGGGGCGCUCUUUUGGGGAGUAAAAAUUCCUUCACAAAUGUGUUGAUGGCUGGACAUUGCAUCAUCCUAGAAAACUUGGAGGGCAGUGAGGACAAAAAUAAAAAGUUAUAAGACUUUUAAGAAUGUGGAUUUUGGGUUAUCUUUGGCGCCCCCUAGAAUGUAAACCGUGGGGUGCAGCGUCAUGAUUUGUACAACUUUUAAUGGCCAUGGGGUGUAGAUUGGCCUGCGCAAAUGUGGUGCCGGUCGAACGAAAGCCUUCGGAGGAGUUAGCGAAAUUCCAAUGUGUGCAGAUCUGCAAAAAAUGCAAAAUAACCCAUUAACCGUACAUUUGACAGAUACGCCCGCACUGACUUUUUUGUAGAUCUUAUUGAGAUACAUGUUUGUGUCAAUUUUUGUGUCAAUAUGACAAAGCGUACAGCGGUCAUGUGAAUUUUCACCUUAGGGGGCGCUAUGGAGCCAUUUUGCAUUUUAUUGUUUGGGCGACUUCAGAAUAUCGAAUUUUUCACCAGGCCCGGUCGUCCUGCCAAAUUUCCUGAGUUUUCGCCAGUGGGAAGUGGGCCAUUUUCCAGUUUAAAGCGGAGGAAAAAUAAUAACGAAAGAAGGAAACAUGCAGGAACAAGAGGGCUCUCGCAGCUGCUUAGCAGCUACGCUCGGGCCCUAAAGAAAGAAACAAAGAAAAACCACUUGGGGAAUAAUAGGGCCUACGCCCGGCUGCUCUGCAGCUGGCUCGGGCCCUAACUAGGGCCCCGGUGGGGCACUGUCGGGCCCGAGCCGCGUUGCGCCGCCCCCAGCGCGACCGCC
Molecule: non-coding RNA, 4085 nt
Organism: Xyrichtys novacula (pearly razorfish)
Lineage: Eukaryota; Metazoa; Chordata; Actinopteri; Labriformes; Labridae
Source: the annotation of a GenBank genome assembly